This is a long non-coding RNA of Bombus huntii, 286 nucleotides long. RefSeq lists it as uncharacterized. The transcript is spliced from 4 exons. The record is from RefSeq and is a predicted model, not a curated record. NCBI's taxonomy places the organism in Eukaryota, Metazoa, Arthropoda, Insecta, Hymenoptera, Apidae.
AGAGAAAGUAUAGAUAUUAAUAGAUAAGCAAAUUUCAGGAUGCUUGGCCAGAUAGACCAGGUGAUUUUGAAAUUGAACCCAUUAAGAAAGUUAAGGAUAUGCCAAAGAUUACAUCUAAACCGACUAUACAAGAGCCAAAUAAUGAAAUAGAGGACAUCUGGGCAGACAGGCCACAAGAACCAGAAAUUAAAUCAAUUUGGAGAAAGGUGCCAGAAAAGACUAGCAUAGAUUUAUCACGGACACAGCACACAGUACCCGAGGUAGAUACGCACUACACAAAUAAUCA